GUGAACGCUGGCGGUGGACCUAACCCAUGCCAGUCGAACGGCAGCACAGUAAGAGCUUGCUCUUACGGGUGGCGAGUGGCGGACGGGUGAGGAAUACAUCGGAAUCUACUUUUUCGUGGGGGAUAACGUAGGGAAACUUACGCUAAUACCGCAUACGACCUACGGGUGAAAGCAGGGGAUCUUCGGACCUUGCGCGAUUGAAUGAGCCGAUGUCGGAUUAGCUAGUUGGCGGGGUAAAGGCCCACCAAGGCGACGAUCCGUAGCUGGUCUGAGAGGAUGAUCAGCCACACUGGAACUGAGACACGGUCCAGACUCCUACGGGAGGCAGCAGUGGGGAAUAUUGGACAAUGGGCGCAAGCCUGAUCCAGCCAUACCGCGUGGGUGAAGAAGGCCUUCGGGUUGUAAAGCCCUUUUGUUGGGAAAGAAAAGCAGCAGGUUAAUACCCCGCUGUUCUGACGGUACCCAAAGAAUAAGCACCGGCUAACUUCGUG
This 491-nucleotide ribosomal RNA is filed under the name uncultured bacterium. RNAcentral's name for it is "partial 16S ribosomal RNA". It matches the Rfam family "Bacterial small subunit ribosomal RNA", at positions 29 to 507 of the family's 1533-position model. The record is from RNAcentral.